CAGCCGUAAACGAUGCGCGUUAGGUGUAUCGACGACCACGAGUCGUCGAGGUGCCGAAGGGAAACCGUGAAACGUGCCGCCUGGGAAGUACGGUCGCAAGGCUGAAACUUAAAGGAAUUGGCGGGGGGAGCACCACAACAGGUGGAGCCUGCGGUUUAAUUGGACUCAACGCCGGAAAUCUCACCGGAUAAGACAGCAGAAUGAUUGUCAAUCUGAAGGUUUUACAUGACUAGCUGAGAGGUGGUGCAUGGCGUCAGUGACU
RNAcentral lists this ribosomal RNA (262 nucleotides) under uncultured archaeon. RNAcentral's name for it is "partial 16S ribosomal RNA". It matches the Rfam family "Archaeal small subunit ribosomal RNA", at positions 748 to 1008 of the family's 1478-position model. The record is from RNAcentral.